UACGUAGGGUGCAAGCGUUAAUCGGAAUUACUGGGCGUAAAGCGUGCGCAGGCGGCUUUGCAAGACAGAUGUGAAAUCCCCGGGCUCAACCUGGGAACUGCAUUUGUGGACUGCAUGGGCUAGAGUACGGUAGAGGGGGGAUGGAAUUCCGCGUGUAGCAGUGAAAUGCGUAGAUAUGCGGAGGAACACCGAUGGCGAAGGCAAUCCCCUGGACCUGUACUGACGCUCAUGCACGAAAAGCGUGGGGAGCAAACAGG
Molecule: ribosomal RNA, 257 nt
Filed under: uncultured bacterium
Lineage: Bacteria
Description: partial 16S ribosomal RNA
Rfam family: Bacterial small subunit ribosomal RNA
Source: RNAcentral